UACCUAGUUGAUCCUACAGGUAGUCAUAUGCUUGUGUCAAAUAUUAAGCUAUGCAUGUCUAAGUAUGAACUAAUUCAGACUGUGAAACUGCGAAUGGAUCAUUAAAUAUGUUAUAGUUUCUUUGAUGGUACCCUACUACUCGGAUAACCAUAGUAAUUCUAAAGAUACUAUGUGCACCAAAUCCUGACUCUUUGUAAGGGAUGCAUUUAUUAGAUAAAAGGCAGACGCAGACUUUACUGCUUCUCCGGUGAAUCAUGAUAAAUCGAUGGAUCACAAAACCCUUGUGCUAGUGAUGCUUCAUUCAAAUUUCUUCCUUAUCAACUUUUGAUGGUAGGAUAGAAGACUACCAUGGUGGUGACGAGUGACAGAGAAUUAGGAUUUGAUUCGAGAGAGGGAGCCUAAGAAAUGACUACCACAACCAAGGAAGGCAACAUACAUGAAAAUGACCUAAUCCUGACAUGGGGAGGUAGUGAAAAUAAAUAAAAAUAUUGGGCUCAUCAAGUCUGGUAAUUGGAAUGAGUACAAUCUAAAUUCCUUAAUGAGGAUUCAUUGGAGGGAAAGUCUGGUGCCAACAACUGCGGUAAUUCCAGCUCCAAUAGCAUAUAUUUAAGUUGUUGCAGUUAAAAAAAUUGUAGUUGUAUCUUGGGUCAUAAAGUUCGAUCUGCCUACUCGGUGUGCACCUACCCUUCCAUCCCUUUUGUCGACGACGUGCUCUUGACCUUAAUUGGUUGGGUCGCAGUUUUGACGCUGUUACUUUGAAAAAAAUAGAGUUCUCAAAGAAAUAUUACGCUUUAAAUACAUUAGCAUGGAAUAACGUGAUAGGAGCCUGAUCCUAUUGUGUUGGCCUUCAGGACUUGAGUAAUGAUUAAUAGGGAUUGUCAUGGGCAUUCAUAUUUCAUUUUCAGAGGUGAAAUUCUUGUAUUUAUGAAAGAGGAACCACUAUGAGAGCAUUUGCCAAGGAUGUUUUCAUUAAUCAAGAAUGAAAGUUGGGGGCUCGAAGACAAUCAUAUACUAUCGUAGUCUCAACCAUAAACGAUGUCGACCAAGGAUCGACAUAUGUUUCUCUAAGGAAUUCACCAACACCUUAUGAGCAAGAAUUAAACUUAAAGGAAUUGACAGAAGCGCACCACCAGGAGUGGAUCCUGCAACUUAGUUUGAAUCAACAAAGGAAAAAUUAACAAGUCCAAACAUAGUAAGGAUUGAGAGAUGGAGAGAUAUUUCUUGAUUCUAUGGGUGGUGGUGAAUGGAUGUUCUUAUUUGGUGGAGUGAUUUUUCUGGUUAAUUCUAAUAAUGAAUGAGACCUCAAUCUACUAAGUAUAUGUGGAGGUUCAACUUCAUGACCAAAUUCUUAGAGGGACCAUGGCCAUUUAGGCCAUGGAAGUUUGAGGCAAUAACAUGUUUGUGAUGCCCUUAGAUGUUUCGACCCACACGUGCACUACAAUGAUGCAGUCAACGAUUUUUUCUCCUUGGUUCGAGAGGAUCGAUAAAUAUUCUCAAAUUGCAUCAUAAUGGGGGUAUACCAUUGAAAUUAUUGGUCUUCAAUGAGGAACUCCUAGUAAACAAGUGCCAUCAUCUCAUGUUGAAUACAUCCUUUCCCUUUGUACACAUCUCCCAAUGCUCCUACCGAUUGAAUGAUCUGGUGAAGUGUUUGGAUCACAUCAACAAGGGUGGUUCACCACCAAUGACGUUGUGAGAAGUUCACUGAACCUUAUCAUUUAGAGGAAGGAGAAGUUGUAACAAGGUUAUCUUAGGUGAAACUGUGGUAGGAUCAUUG
This is a non-coding RNA of Picea glauca (white spruce), 1774 nucleotides long. The record is from Rfam. Lineage: Eukaryota; Viridiplantae; Streptophyta; Pinopsida; Pinales; Pinaceae.